RNAcentral lists this long non-coding RNA (1917 nucleotides) under Homo sapiens (human). RNAcentral's name for it is "HSALNT0378362". The record is from RNAcentral. Lineage: Eukaryota; Metazoa; Chordata; Mammalia; Primates; Hominidae.
UGCCCAACUCGGCCUCCCAAAGUGUUGGGAUUACAGGUGUGAGCCACCUCACCCAGCUUCGUUCCAUCUCUUAUACUUAAACAGUUGCCUCUUAUUUCCUGCCUCAGCCCUUUUGGGGUUUCUACAGCUGAUUCUACUAAUGGCUUCCAUCGACCAGUGCAGGCUUUUCUCAUUUCUUCACUCAUAUCUUGUAGAAUUUCCUUUCUGGGGUCUGUGGUCUUGUCAUUAUCAUAUUCUCAGAUACUGGAUUCUUAUGUUGGGUUCUUGUGUUUCUUUUAUGUACUUAUUUAUAUAUGCUUUCCUUGGUGGGCUCUGGUGCCUUUUAGGCUAACUAACUGAAAAACAAUGUAUCCACAAAAUUAAAAUGCACUUUUCCAGUCCAAUUGACCCAAACAGAAUUAUACCACCAAAUUAGUUUUACUAGUUUUCUGUUUUUUUCAGUGAUAUCCAGGGUCCUGUCUUAAGCCUUAGCUCUUGGUGGUUCACUUACCCCAUGUUACAGUUUUGUUACUGCAUUAUAAGUAUCCCCAAAUCUCAGUGGCUUAAAACAACAACCAUUUUAUUAUAUUUCAUGAGUUUCUGGGUUAGGAGAUUAGGUAGGGCUUGGCUGGGCAAUUCUUCUUCUCCACGUGGUCUUGACUUGGUAUUUAGCUGGCAGCUGAGCUAGCCUGGUGGGUCUAAGGUAGCAUGAUUUAGUUGCCAGGCACAUUGCCAGAGAUGGCUGCCUGGCUGAAUGGCUGGGCUGGGCCCCUUCCUUCUCCAUGUCAUCUAUAACCUUCCCACAUGAUAUCUUUAGAGGAGUAGAUAGAUUUCCUACAUGGCAGCUUGGGGCUCCAAGAAUAAAAGUCUUCUCAGAGUCAGGAAGUAAAAGCUACCAGUCUCUUAAGGCUAAGACCUGGAACUGAGACAUCAUUUGUGCUGCAUCCUAUCAGUUAAAGUAGUCAAAGAGCCUGCCCACAUUCAAGAGGAAAAAACAUAGGCCCCUCUCCGUAAAGGGAGGUAUCUCAAAUAAUUUGUGGCCAUCUUUAAUCCACCAUAUCCCAGCAAAGUUCUAUUCUUUGACAGCAGGCUUUUUAGGUAGCGUCACAUUUUCAGCAACUAUUGCUACUGCGUGCCUGUCUUCUGCAUAUUUCCUGGUUGCCUAGAUUACGAUGUCAUGAGGAACUGAUUAGGCCCUUUGCAACUGUGUCUUACAUGAGCCACUGUAGCUCAGUCCCAUCCCUUAGCUUGUUCCUCUCCUGCCCAAUCAGAAAGUUAUGUUUUACACCCAAGCCAGCUUCCGUUGUGACAUCACACAUAAAAUGUGCGUAAAAUGCUUACAUCAAUUGCAUUGGCUCCUAGAAUUCAGAAAUUGCAGUGACUUAAACAAGAGAGUCAUUUGUUUCUCUCUCACAUAAAAGGAAUUUGAAAGAACAGAGUCAAGAUCAGAUAAUAAAGCUCAGAGAGGAUAGCCACUUCCUCAAGGACACAGACCACAGGUAUGGACCAAUGUUAGCCAAUCAUCCACCUGACAAUAGCAACUGAUUCAAGACGGGAGCUCAAGAACCAAGUAGGGCCUGAGGGCUUUACCUGAAGUGAAAUAUGAACAUCCAAUGGCAAAAAGAAAUACUCUCUCCACUGGAUUGUUAUGCCUGGGCCUGCAGCAACCAAGUUCUCUACCACAUGGAGAGAUAUGAGAUAUGGUUAGACAAAAUGAGAAGAGCACAGACAAGCAGAAACAAGAGCUGGGCAGGAUCCCUGUUCAGACUAACUUACAGUCUGAACGUACAUGCAAAGAUCUCUGAAAAGCAGUCUAUCCAAGUGGGCUUAAAACUUUAGUCAUGACAAAUUGUAUUUUCAGAGGCAGCACAGUGCAUUUCUUAAAGCUCUUGUUGUUCUUCUUUACUAUCAAAUAAAAAUUGGCUCCCUGUAACUUGU